This 264-nucleotide long non-coding RNA is filed under the name Gossypium barbadense (sea-island cotton). Its description in RNAcentral is "long non-coding RNA (GBAR_LNC002837)". Lineage: Eukaryota; Viridiplantae; Streptophyta; Magnoliopsida; Malvales; Malvaceae. The record is from RNAcentral.
AUUUAUGUGAUAAGUUUUGAUCUAUGUGAUAACGUGACACUUUGAUAUUAUGCAACAUAAUCAUCUUAUAAAUUAUAAGUUUUUUUUUUUUUACUAAAGCAGUGUUUGGACAUUGAACUUGACAAUUUUGGUCAUUUUAGUCUAGAACUUGACAACUUUACCCAAUUUUGGUCCAUGUGAUGACAUGGUCAUCACCUAAAAGUUAUAUAUAUCUAUAAAAAAUUUAGGUGAUGACUUGCACAAUCUCAGAAUUUUAUAUCAUCA